This 354-nucleotide long non-coding RNA is filed under the name Macaca fascicularis (crab-eating macaque). Its description in RNAcentral is "lncRNA (ENSMFAG00000062214.1)". The record is from RNAcentral. Lineage: Eukaryota; Metazoa; Chordata; Mammalia; Primates; Cercopithecidae.
AGCAGUUCCCUGCCAUGUGGUCCUUUCCACUUCCUGUAAAACAAUCCUGAGUUCCAGGAAGAAACACACUCAGCUAACACAUUGCUCGUUUGCUUCCUCAAGGCCAGAAGGAGUAUUUCUUUCUCCAGUCUGCUAAUACAGAGUCUCAUAUAAGAAAAACAAAGCAAGAAAACAGCAACAAUAACAAUAGCAGUGUGGUUCACCGAGUAUGUGCCCAAGGCAUGAAAGAGAGGAGCACAAUUUCCUUGACAGAGCUGAGAUUGUGUUCUGCUUACUUCUGUGGGAAUCGGGGUAGGUGUGCGGCUCUUAAAUCAUACAUGUCAUUUACUCUAAUUCAAUUAAAUGUUAUGGAUU